Molecule: long non-coding RNA, 512 nt
Filed under: Ananas comosus (pineapple)
Lineage: Eukaryota; Viridiplantae; Streptophyta; Magnoliopsida; Poales; Bromeliaceae
Description: long non-coding RNA (ACOM_LNC014361)
Source: RNAcentral
UAUAUAUAGCUUUUAUACUAUCGAAAGCACAGAGAAUCUAGCAUUUCUAAUUUUUUUACCUGUAGAUCAGUUUCUUUCAUUAUUUUUAAAUUUUGAAUUAAUAUUAUUAUCCUGUGGGGACUACUCAGUUUUAAAAAUACUACUCAAUCCUAGAGAGGACCGUAAUUAUUUCAACCGUAUAAUUUUCAAUCCAAAGGUCUAAAAAUCGAAAGCAUCAAAUGCUCUAUACUUUUGAUAGUAUAGUAUAUAUACACACACGCGUACCAUACCACAUGACAUGAUGCACUAUAGGAGCUGGAAAAAGGAAUGGGAAAAGAUAAUUUUAAAUCCAGAAAUUGUAUAUUCAAAUUGUAUAACACUUUGAAAAUGAUUGAACCUAUGAUUUUAUAGAAUGAAAGAGUUUAAAAUUAGUUCUGAUAUCACAUUAAAUUAUAUUAUAAAAAAUAAUUAUUAUUUUUAAAAAAUUAAAGUCGGUAAAAAAAAUAAUAUUUUUAAUAUUUAUAUUCAACAAC